Molecule: long non-coding RNA, 323 nt
Organism: Fundulus heteroclitus (mummichog)
Lineage: Eukaryota; Metazoa; Chordata; Actinopteri; Cyprinodontiformes; Fundulidae
Exons: 4
Source: RefSeq, a predicted model, not a curated record
UGAUGGCAGGUUCUAUGACCACAGGUACGCUGACCACAGGUACGCUGACAGGUUCUAUGACCACAGGUACGCUGACCACAGGUACGCUGACAGGUUCUAUGACCACAGGUACGCUGACCACAGGUACGCUGACCACAGGUACGCUGACAGGUUCUAUGACCACAGGUACGCUGACCACAGGUACGCUGACAGGUUCUAUGACCACAGGUACGCUGACCGGAGCUUAAUUGUUAUAACCGUAAACUCUGUCUCCCACUAUAAACUGCUCAGCAGGAGGAAGUCUUCACACCAAACUGUUUUAAACGUGACACUGAGCUGAAACU